AGUGAACGCUGGCGGUAGGCCUAACACAUGCAAGUCGAACGGCAGCACAGUAAGAGCUUGCUCUUACGGGUGGCGAGUGGCGGACGGGUGAGGAAUACAUCGGAAUCUACUUUUUCGUGGGGGAUGACGUAGGGAAACUUACGCUAAUACCGCAUACGACCUACGGGUGAAAGCAGGGGAUCUUCGGACCUUGCGCGAUUGAAUGAGCCGAUGUCGGAUUAGCUAGUUGGCGGGGUAAAGGCCCACCAAGGCGACGAUCCGUAGCUGGUCUGAGAGGAUGAUCAGCCACACUGGAACUGAGACACGGUCCAGACUCCUACGGGAGGCAGCAGUGGGGAAUAUUGGACAAUGGGCGCAAGCCUGAUCCAGCUAUACCGCGUGGGUGAAGAAGGCCUUCGGGUUGUAAAGCCCUUUUGUUGGGAAAGAAAAGCAGCAGGUUAAUACCCCGCUGUUCUGACGGUACCCAAAGAAUAAGCACCGGCUAACUUCGUG
Molecule: ribosomal RNA, 492 nt
Filed under: uncultured bacterium
Lineage: Bacteria
Description: partial 16S ribosomal RNA
Rfam family: Bacterial small subunit ribosomal RNA
Source: RNAcentral